GUUGCUUAGCUAUCUUCUGCUUAUGGAUACCCAGUUUUCCCAGCACCAUUUAUUAAAGAGACUGUCUUUUCUGCAGUGUAUGUUCUGUGCACCGUCAUUGAAAAUGACAGUUCAUUGAAGGUGUGUGGAUUUGUUUCUGGGUUCUCUAAUCUGUUCAGCUGGUCUAUGUGUUUGUUUUUAUGCCAGUACCAUAUCAUUUUAGUUACCAUAGCUCCAUACUAUAAUUUGAAACUGGGUCAUGUGAUUACUCCAGUUUUGUGGUAUUAGGAUAGCUUUGGCUAUUCUGAGUCUUUUGUGGUUUCAUAUAAAUUUUCUAAUUUUUUUUUUCUGUUUCUGUGAAGAAUGUCAUUGGUAUUUUGAUAGGGAUUGCAUUGAAUCUGUAGGUUGCUUUGGGUAGUAUGGACAUUUUAACAAGAUUGAUUCUUCCAAUCCAUGAAUAUGGAAUAUCUUUCCAUUUUUUGGUGUCCACUUCAAUUUCUUUCAUCAGUCUUUUAUAGUUUUCAUUAUAGAGAUCUUUCACUUCUUGGGUUAAGUUAAUUCCUAGGUAUUUAAUUUUAUUUGUGGCUACUGUAAAUGGGAUUACUAUUUAAAUCUCUUUUUCAGAUUGUUCACUGUUGGCAUAUAGAAAUGCUACUAAUUUUUGUAUAUUGAUUUUGUAUCCUGGAACUUUACUGAAUUUGUUUAUAAUUUGUUUAUUUGUUUAUAAUAGUUUUUUGGUGGACUCUUUCAGUUUUUUCAAAUAUAAGAUCGUAUCAUUGGCAAACAAGGGCAGUUUGAUUUCUUCUAUUCCAUACUCAGCUAAUUUUUUUUUUAUUGUUUGUAGAGACAGGAGUCUCACUAUGUUGACCAGGCUGAUCUCAAACUCAAGCAAUCCUCUGCCUCCCAACAUGUUAGGGUUACAGGAUUUCCACACGGGAAUUUAACUCUGCAGAUGAAUCAACAUGAUGCUAUUGUGAUAACCUACCUUUUGUUGGCCUAAUAGACUCUCUCUUUCUUAGCUUUUUGAGCUGGUCAGACUCCAUUUUAGCUUCCUCACUUGCCCCCGGCUUCUUGUCCCUUCCCCUGAGCAUGUAGCAGGGUUAAGCUGACUCCAAGCAGACCCAGGAAUGUCCUUACUGAUAAGAUACUGAGUUAAGCUGUACCAGCCACACCCAGGGAUGCGUUUGCUGAUGGUAUCAACAGCUCCUUAAAAUGUGCCCACAUUUACAACUGUAUAUCUUCCUGCAGUAGUAUGUCCUUUUAACUUUUUGCUUGUUCUGCUUUAGCUAGGUGCCCCCUCCCCUCCUUUAAGCAAGGUAUAAAAGAAAGCAAAAUACCCUUCUUCAGGGCUGAGAUAAUUUUGAGCAUUAGCCGUCUCUCAGUCGCUGGCAAAUAAAGGACUCCUGAUUCAAUCUCAGAGUGUGGCACUUUCUUCAACUCGCUCGGGUAUAACACUAUUAAUUGCUAUUUACAUAUUAAUACUUG
RNAcentral lists this long non-coding RNA (1464 nucleotides) under Callithrix jacchus (white-tufted-ear marmoset). RNAcentral describes it as "lncRNA (ENSCJAG00000070247.1)". The record is from RNAcentral. Lineage: Eukaryota; Metazoa; Chordata; Mammalia; Primates; Cebidae.